UUUUUUUUUUUUUUUUUUUUUUUUGGUCUUUUUAGGGCUGAACCCACAGCAUAUGGAGGUUCCCAGGCGAGGGGUCGAAUUGGAGCUGUAGCCGCCAGCCUACGCCAGAGCCACGGCAACGCCAGAUCCGAGCCGUGUCUUCGACCUACACCACAGCUCACGGCAACACCGGAUCCUUAACCCACUGAGCGAGGCCAGGGAUCGAACCCGCAUCCUUGUGGAUACUAGUCAGGUUGGUUGACCGCUGAACCACCAUGAGAACUCCAAGCUUGGAGAUUUAAAACACCCCUUGGAAAAAAAAAUAAAAUAAAAUAAAACACCCCUUGGGCAGAAGUGAUAUAAAGGAGUGACAUGGGAGUUCCCGUCAUGGCUCAGUGGUUAACGAAUUUGACUAGGAACCAUGAGGUUUCGGGUUCGAUCCCUGGCCUCGCUCAGUGGGUUAAGGAUCUGGCAUGGCCGUGAGCUGUGGUGUAGGUCGCAGAUGUGACUCGGUCUGGCGUUGCUGUGGCUCUGGCGUAGGCCGGCGGCUACAGCUCCAAUUCGACCCCUAGCCUGGGAACUUCCACAUGCUGCAGGUGUGGUCCUAAAAAGCAAGUAAAAUAAAAUAAAAUAUCCAUGUUUAAAAAAAAUUUUUUUUCCCAACUAUUCACAUGGCUAAGUACCCAGUGCAUACCAGCCCCAGGAACACUUAAGUCUAAAUGAAAGAAACUGUCUAGCUUUUCUCCUACAGAUGCCACUCCCACAGGCCCAGGGUCCACUGUUGGUGGCAUAAAAUAAAAGCUAGGGGUAACCUAAUUGCUCUGCCACCAAGUCAGGCCAGGACCUCUGAACCCCCAAAAUGCACUUAAUUAUUUCCAGGAGUUGCCAGGGGCUGUCACAGAGGCUCAGGAACGAGUCCAUUCAGUCUCUGUGCGACCCUGCUCUCAGGGGACACCAAAGACACUACUGCCACUCUGGAGGCUCCCCAAGGGUGGUUGGUGUCCUGCAGCAUCAUAGUAGUUCUGCCCUAGGGGCCUCAUGGACCGUAGAGCACAGAAGACACCUGGUGGUUUGUGGGGUGGUUGGGGUGAACAGUUAGCUCUCUCCCCACUGGGUUAUCUUCUGCUAAAGGGGCCCAGAGCAGUGCCAGAUGGGGACAUAUACCCUAAGGCAACUACAGCGAGUCCUGUAGUAAGAAAGUCGUUGGCAUCUCCUAGUACUCCUGUCUUUUGGGUGUUUUGAGACCCAACUGCCAAUGCUCAGGGCUGGCAGGUUGGGGGAGGGCGGUUUCCUCAAACAAACAAGCAGUUCUCAGACACCAGCAGUGUAUCCAAGAAUUCAACUCAGGUCAACUCAAUUCUGACACCCCCUACCCGGAGAGAGCAUCAGAUUCCACAGGCUGAGGGUUGCGUCCUACAAGAGUGCCCUGCCUCUACCCUGCCCCCACUUCAGAUGCCAGUCACAAGCCCAGGCUGUUACCCACGCUUCUGACAAACUGGCUAUAGAUUGGAGAUUCCAACCAUGCCCUCCGUGGCAACUCAAUUCGGACACCAGUGCCAAGUCCAAGUUGUGACCUGUGCUUUAAACCAACUGGCUAGGUUCCAAUGACACUCUUGUUGGGUUCGAUUAAUCUGCGAGAGUGGCUCACAGAAGUCAGAAACAUUUUGCUCACGAGAUUACUGGUUUAUUAUAAAAGGAUCUAACUCAGGAAGUCAGAUGGCAGAGGCGCAUAGAGCAGGUGUGGAAAAGGGCGCUGAGCUCCCAUGCCUCUCCUGGGCUCACCAUUCUCCCCACAUCUCCAUGUGCUCACCAACCUGGAAUUUCUCUGGACCCCAUCCUUUUGGGUGUUUACGGCGGCUUCACUACCUCGGUGUGAGUGAUUAAGUCAUUGGCCCCUGGUGAUGGAGUCAACUUCCAGAUCCCCUUCAUUCCCCUCCCCUCCCCCAGCAUAGAAGAUGGGACAGAAAGUUCCAAUCCUCUAAUCAAAAGGUUGAUCCUCCUGGCACUUAACCUCCAUUCUUAGGUACCGUCCAAGAGCCACCUCACUAACAUAACAAAAGACACCUUUCACUCACAUCGCUCAGGAAGUUCCAAGGGUUUAGUACCUGCCAAAAAUGUGGACCAAAAAGAUUUAUAUUUCUUAUUAUAAAUCAUGAUAUCACAGUCCACCCCCCGGUCUUCAAACAUGGAUCCCUUGUAGCAAAAUGAUCAUAAAAGUGAAAAGAUAUUGGCACAUGACUAGAGUUCUAUUCAGUCAUUACUAAGUAUCCAGUCCAGCAUCAUAUCAUAUGAAAAUGUCUCCCAGGGAGAACCCAUCGGUUUGUGACCUUGUCAGGUUCCAAAAAGCACAAGUGGUGUCAGCAACACAGGGCUUCACCCUUUCAGGCAUCUGGUAUGAGACAUUAUCAUCUCGUGCUCUAAGCCUCUUUUGAGAUGGUAACCUAAUCUGAAUGCCUCUCAUUAUAUAACCCAUUCACUUAUUCAUUCCCUUACCCUCAGCUACUGUUUUCCCUUCUCUCUGCUUAAUAUCCACAUUUUCCUACCUUUGGAAGAGACGUUAGGUCCGGCCACUGUGCUGGUCUCUGUCGCAAGCAGCAAUACUAGGCUAGUUAAGCGCCUCCCCCCAGUGCAAGUCUAGUCAGAUAAGGUUACACAGCAGAGAACUAUUGGGCUAUCUUUACCUCCAGGCAAUACAGCAAUAUAACCCAAUUUUGUUAGAGGGGGUGAAGGCACAUCCUGCCCCAUCAGGCCCUUAGGAAUUCCGACACAAAGGUUAAAAACACAGUUACAGUUUCUUGCUCAGGAAUCAUCCCUAUUUCCAGCCCAGGUCUUGUGACCACUGCAUCAAGUAGGGAAGAAAACAACAAAAAAAGCUGAAGUGAUGCAGGGAAGAAAAAAAUACCAGCACCUUCCCCACCCCCUCACCCCCAGAUCCACCAGAAAAACAGAGAGAUCUACCCAGUGGGGACACUCCUUUGGCCACACUCAUGUUUGUGCUGAGCAUGAGCACACACUCGUGAAGGUGCGGAAGCCAGCCCUGCACUGUUCCAAUUGCCCCUUCCUGUUCUCUAUCAGGCUCUGGGGACGAGACCUCGGUGUCCGUCCUUGGACAUCACGAGUAAGCCGAGCCCGGGCUAGAGUCUCAGGCCUGUCAGGACCGGGGGGGGGGGGGGGGGGGGGGGGCGCCCCCCGCCGNAGGCCUUCCCAGCAGAAUUGGCCAUGCAGCCCUCUGCCUCUGUCUCUCUUGCCAACAGGACAGCUCUUGUUGGCAUCUCGUGCUCAGAGGGAGCAGGAGGACUACGUCUGGAUCCAGUCCGCCUCUCACUGCUGCAGCGUCCCCACGUCCCCAUGUCCCCUCACUCAUGGACCCAGGUGGGCACCUCCAGCAAGCACACAAGGAGAUCUGCUUGUUGUUUUUUUUUUUGGUUUUUUUUUUUUUGGUUUUUUUUUUGGCUUUGUAGGGCUGCACCCUAGGAAGU
RNAcentral lists this long non-coding RNA (3458 nucleotides) under Sus scrofa (pig). Its description in RNAcentral is "lncRNA (ENSSSCG00065025618.1)". Lineage: Eukaryota; Metazoa; Chordata; Mammalia; Artiodactyla; Suidae. The record is from RNAcentral.